This is a non-coding RNA of Triticum aestivum (bread wheat), 136 nucleotides long. The record is from Rfam. Lineage: Eukaryota; Viridiplantae; Streptophyta; Magnoliopsida; Poales; Poaceae.
AUUCUACUCCCUCCAUUCCACAAUACAUGCCUUCUAUUUGUCAAAAUAUAGAUGUAUCUAGACAUGUUUUAGUAUAUAGGUACAUCCAUUUUUGGACAAAUGGAAGUCAAGUAUUUUGGAACGGAGGGAGUACACA